RNAcentral lists this ribosomal RNA (327 nucleotides) under uncultured eukaryote. Its description in RNAcentral is "partial 18S ribosomal RNA". It matches the Rfam family "Eukaryotic small subunit ribosomal RNA", at positions 1470 to 1796 of the family's 1831-position model. The record is from RNAcentral.
CCCUUAGAUGUUCUGGGCCGCACACGCGCUACACUGAAGGAGGCAGCGUGUACUCCUGGAUCGAAAGAUUUGGGUAACCCGCGAAUCUCCUUCGUGCUAGGGAUUGAGGUUUGCAAUUAUCCUUCAUGAACGAGGAAUUCCCAGUAAGUGCAAGUCAUAAGCUUGCGCUGACUACGUCCCUGCCCUUUGUACACACCGCCCGUCGCUACUACCGAUUGAAUGAUUUAGUGAGGACUUCGGACUGGGACCGAUGCGGCUUUCGGGCUGCGUCGGUAUUCUGGAAAGAUGUCCAAACUGUAUCAUUUAGAGGAAGUAAAAGUCGUNACA